UUCGUAGGUGGUUACAUAAGUCAGAUGUGAAAUCCCCGCGCUUAACGUGGGCAUUGCAUUUGAAACUAUGUAGCUAGAGUUCUGUAGAGGGGGGUAGAAUUCCAGGUGUAGCGGUGAAAUGCGUAGAGAUCUGGAGGAAUACCGAUUGCGAAGGCAGCCCCCUGGACAGUGACUGACGCUCAUAUGCGAAAGCGUGGGGAUCAAACAGGAUUAGAUACCCCCGUA
Molecule: ribosomal RNA, 225 nt
Filed under: uncultured Thorsellia sp.
Lineage: Bacteria; Pseudomonadati; Pseudomonadota; Gammaproteobacteria; Enterobacterales; Thorselliaceae
Description: partial 16S ribosomal RNA
Rfam family: Bacterial small subunit ribosomal RNA
Source: RNAcentral